This 1169-nucleotide long non-coding RNA is filed under the name Manacus vitellinus (golden-collared manakin). RNAcentral describes it as "lncRNA (ENSMVIG00005009362.1)". Lineage: Eukaryota; Metazoa; Chordata; Aves; Passeriformes; Pipridae. The record is from RNAcentral.
AAUUCGAAGCUCAUCCCUGAGAGAAAAGCUGCAGCUGAAAGCCCAGGGCUGGGAUCACCCACUGGCUCCGGGAGGGCAGGUAUUGAUGGAGGCACUGGGGAAGUGCCAACUGGAUGAGGAGAACGAGGAGUCCUUCGGAAGAUUGGAAUAUUUUCCCAUUUGCUCCAGUCCUCUCUGCCUGGCAGUGGUGGCUGCCCCUGAGCCCGCCCUGGGAACGCUCUCCCCACACUCAGUGUACAUUGGCAGCCACUCUGCUUCCCACCCUGAGAACAUCCCACUCUGCUGCAGCACAACUGUGGGAGUUUGGCUUUGUUUGUUUUCCUUCCCCCACAGGAGGAGGUUGUUCCCGAAAAUGCUCCCAGUGAUUCUCACCUCAGGAUUGCUGCUUCAGUGAAAUGUACCCAAUUCUCUGGGAAAGGCUGGCUUUGAUGACUACUCAGAUUUGAAGGAAUUCUGGAAGAAAUUAUUGAACCAGGACUUUUCAACAUUCUCAUAAAGAAAUCUGUGUUUCUCGUUUGAAGGUGACUUUCUAAUUUGGAAUUGGAAUAGUAUUUUCUUUAGAUAGGAAAUAGUCCAAUUCUGAAAUAGCAAUGUUCUGUAUCUUUAUAUAUCUCUAUUAACCUGAUAUCAUUAUGGAAUGUAUAAUUUACAGUUAUUAUGGCAAAAGGAAAAUAUUUGAGAUAAUUCCUUUUAAAACAAAAAUCUGUUGAGAGAAGUGAUUCAGAAAUUUCAAGAAGCCUUGAAUGUAAGAAAAUCUUUUUCCCUUCUCUUUCAAGUACCAUUUGCUUGAAUGCCAUUUAAUGUUGGUUUUACAUUUGGCUGAAUUUCCUCUGUUUUAAAGACUUUUAAUUUGCAUUAAAAAAAAAAAGCUUGGAAAUCCAUGUGGUGGCCACUGAGGACUUGCACUAUUGAAAAAUGUUGCUAGGAGCUGGAGAUCCAAGAAAUCAAACACAAGAAAACUGCUCCUGGAAGUCCAGAAAUAGGAAGAAUGAGGAGAUCAGUGAGUUACUAUUGCUGGGGCCUGGACAUUUGAUGUCAAGGGAUGUGGAAUAUGGAUAUCAGGGUUUAGGGACACUGGAACAGAGAGGGCAGCCAUCAGUGAUUAGAAGGAUAAUUGUACCAGGACAGAGAGAAAUAAAAACAAGAAGGAAGGGGAGUUUAUUGCUAGC